GGGCGCAAGCCUGAUGCAGCCAUGCCGCGUGUGUGAAGAAGGCCUUCGGGUUGUAAAGCACUUUCAGUCGUGAGGAAGGUGGUAGUGUUAAUAGCACUAUCAUUUGACGUUAGCGACAGAAGAAGCACCGGCUAACUCCGUGCCAGCAGCCGCGGUAAUACGGAGGGUGCGAGCGUUAAUCGGAAUUACUGGGCGUAAAGCGCAUGCAGGUGGUUUGUUAAGUCAGAUGUGAAAGCCCGGGGCUCAACCUCGGAAUAGCAUUUGAAACUGGCAGACUAGAGUACUGUAGAGGGGGGUAGAAUUUCAGGUGUAGCGGUGAAAUGCGUAGAGAUCUGAAGGAAUACCGGUGGCGAAGGCGGCCCCCUGGACAGAUACUGACACUCAGAUGCGAAAGCGUGGGGAGCAAACAGGAUUAGAUACCCUGGUAGUCCACGCCGUAAACGAUGUCUACUUGGAGGUUGUGGCCUUGAGCCGUGGCUUUCGGAGCUAACGCGUUAAGUAGACCGCCUGGG
This 512-nucleotide ribosomal RNA is filed under the name Vibrio sp. QAM_1_44. RNAcentral describes it as "bacterial SSU rRNA". It matches the Rfam family "Bacterial small subunit ribosomal RNA", at positions 373 to 877 of the family's 1533-position model. The record is from RNAcentral. Lineage: Bacteria; Pseudomonadati; Pseudomonadota; Gammaproteobacteria; Vibrionales; Vibrionaceae.